UACAGAGGUCUCGAGCGUUAGGCGGAAUCACUGGGCUUAAAGCGUGUGUAGGCGGACUGGUAAGUACCUUGUGAAAUCCCACGGCUCAACCGUGGAACUGCUCGGUAUACUGCGAAUCUUGAGCCACGUUAGGGCUACCGGAACAAAUGGUGGAGCGGGUGAAAUGCGAUAGAUAUCAUUUGGAACGCCAAUGGUGAAAACAACUCGCUGGGGAAGUGCUGACGCUGAGACACGAAAGCCAGGGGAGCGAACGGG
RNAcentral lists this ribosomal RNA (255 nucleotides) under uncultured bacterium. Its description in RNAcentral is "partial 16S ribosomal RNA". It matches the Rfam family "Bacterial small subunit ribosomal RNA", at positions 524 to 776 of the family's 1533-position model. The record is from RNAcentral.